RNAcentral lists this transfer RNA (69 nucleotides) under Ovis aries (sheep). It matches the Rfam family "tRNA". Rfam says of the family: Transfer RNA (tRNA) molecules are approximately 80 nucleotides in length. Their secondary structure includes four short double-helical elements and three loops (D, anti-codon, and T loops). Lineage: Eukaryota; Metazoa; Chordata; Mammalia; Artiodactyla; Bovidae. The record is from Rfam by way of RNAcentral.
CCUGAUGGCUUAGAAGUUAAAGCGUCUGCCUGCAAUGCGGGAGACCUGGGUUCUAUCCCUGGGUCAGGA